Molecule: long non-coding RNA, 570 nt
Organism: Ostrea edulis (European flat oyster)
Lineage: Eukaryota; Metazoa; Mollusca; Bivalvia; Ostreida; Ostreidae
Exons: 3
Source: RefSeq, a predicted model, not a curated record
UGUGCUAGGUUAGCCCCUACGUAGGGAAAGCUAGCAUAAAAAUUUAGUGCUAGAUUCUAAAGCAAAAAUGGCGGAAAAAAUCGAGAUGUUACUUAAAUGAGAAUGAUUUUAGCUUAUAUGAACGAUAAUAAUUGGAACAAGUAAAAUCUUUCCGGAAUACGUCACCGCGAUUGGUUUAUUCUACUACUAGAAGUUGUUUACGGGAUUCGAAAAGGCGAGACAAGAAGAACCACUGUGAGUUUGUUACAACUAACUUUGGGCUGCGUUCUCAAACACACACACUUUAAGUCAUAAGGCAGUUGGAUUUGGCACUGGUAGAGGUUGAAAUCAUGUUUCUGAAGAAUGAGUUAUGAUGGAAGUGAUACAAUGAUGGGACAUUUAACAUCAUACCAGAAUUAAAGAGUCAAUAUAAAGAUUCUUGAAUGAUCAACUUCCAUUGGGGAUGAAGGAUGAAUGAGAAAUCUGUAAAUGAUAUUUUGAUUCAAAUUAAGUUAUAUUUUAUAUAUAAUGAUUCAGAAACAUGCUUGCUACCCAAUCUCGCCUGUAUUAAAAAUUAUGCAUGUUGCAUAA